UGUGCUUGCACGAGGGCAGCGUGUGUUUGCCCAAGGGCGCUGCGCACGCACGUGAGGGCAGCGCACCCUCGCAUGAAGGCGCUGCGCGUUUGCAGGAGGGCGGUGGGCCCUCGCGCAAGGGCGGCGUGCAUUUGCGCCAUGGCAGUGGGAACCUGCGCGAGGGYGCUGUGCAUUGGCACAAGGGUGGCGUGUGCUUGUGCAAAGACGCAGUGCAUUGGCACGAGGGUGCUGUGCAUUGACAUGGGGGUGCUGCGCACUGGCACAAGGGUGACGUGCCCUUGCACAAGGGCCCUGUGCAUUUGCACGAGAGUGGUAUGCACUUGCACAAGGGUGCAGUGCAUUUGCACGAGGGUGCUGUGCWUUGGCCCAGGGGCUCUGUGCUCUUGCACAAGGGCACCGUGCAUUGGCCCAGGGGCGCUAUGCAUUUGCACGAGGGAGGUAUGCGCUUGCACGAGGGCGGCAUGCCGUUGCACAAGGGCGCUGUGCAUUUGCACGAGGGCACCGUGCAUUGGCCCAGGGGCGCUGUGCAUUUGCACGAGGGAGGUAUGCACUUGCACAAGGGUGUGGUGCAUUUGCACGAGGGCGCUGUGCAUUGGCCCAGGGGCUCUGUGCUCUUGCACGAGGGCGCUGUGCAUUCGCACGAGGGUGCCGUUCGUCGGUGCGGGGGCUCUGUGCCCUUGCAUGAGGGUGCUGUGCAUUCGCACGAGGGUGCCGUGUGUCGGCACGGGGGCUUGUGCUCUUGCACGAGGGUGCAGUGCCCUUGAACGAAGGCGCCGUGCAUUCGCACGAGGAUGCCGUGCAUCGACGCGGGGGCUCUGUGCUCUUGCACGAGGGUGCUGUGCAUUCGCACGAGGGUGCAGUGCCCUUGCACGAGGGCGCCGUGCGUCGGCGCGGGGGCUCGCACCGCUGCCCGAGGACGCUGCGAGGCCGUGCCCCCCCCGCCCCCCCCGCCGCAGGUGAGCGCCCAGCGCAAGGUGGGGGUGCUGUACUGCCGCGCGGGGCAGGGCUCCGAGGAGGAGAUGUACAACAACGAGGGCGCCGGGCCGCCCUUCGCCGAG
This 1058-nucleotide long non-coding RNA is filed under the name Apteryx haastii (Great spotted kiwi). RNAcentral's name for it is "lncRNA (ENSAHAG00000013022.1)". The record is from RNAcentral. Lineage: Eukaryota; Metazoa; Chordata; Aves; Apterygiformes; Apterygidae.